RNAcentral lists this ribosomal RNA (301 nucleotides) under uncultured bacterium. RNAcentral describes it as "partial 16S ribosomal RNA". It matches the Rfam family "Bacterial small subunit ribosomal RNA", at positions 509 to 807 of the family's 1533-position model. The record is from RNAcentral.
CAGUCGCCGCGGGAAUACGAAGGGGGCUAGCGUUGUUCGGAAUUACUGGGCGUAAAGCGUCUGUAGGUGGCUUUUCAAGUCCGCCGUCAAAUCCCAGGGCUCAACCGGGGAGGUUCAUUGGAAACUGGGAAACUUGAGUGCAGAAGAGGAGAGUGGAAUUCCACGUGUAGCGGUGAAAUGCGUAGAGAUGUGGAGGAACACCAGUGGCGAAGGCGACUCUCUGGUCUGUAACUGACGCUGAGGAGCGAAAGCGUGGGGAGCGAACAGGAUUAGAGACCCGAGUAGUCCCUGUCUCUUAUAC